This 386-nucleotide ribosomal RNA is filed under the name Synechococcus sp. GK9. RNAcentral describes it as "bacterial SSU rRNA". It matches the Rfam family "Bacterial small subunit ribosomal RNA", at positions 394 to 795 of the family's 1533-position model. Lineage: Bacteria; Bacillati; Cyanobacteriota; Cyanophyceae; Synechococcales; Synechococcaceae. The record is from RNAcentral. RNAcentral also lists the same sequence under 1 other name.
ACGCCGCGUGAGGGAUGAAGGCCUCUGGGCUGUAAACCUCUUUUCUCAAGGAAGAAGAUCUGACGGUACUUGAGGAAUAAGCCACGGCUAAUUCCGUGCCAGCAGCCGCGGUAAUACGGGAGUGGCAAGCGUUAUCCGGAAUUAUUGGGCGUAAAGCGUCCGCAGGCGGCCUUGUAAGUCUGUCGUUAAAGCGUGGAGCUUAACUCCAUUUCAGCGAUGGAAACUACAAGGCUUGAGUGUGGUAGGGGCAGAGGGAAUUCCCGGUGUAGCGGUGAAAUGCGUAGAUAUCGGGAAGAACACCAGUGGCGAAGGCGCUCUGCUGGGCCAUAACUGACGCUCAUGGACGAAAGCCAGGGGAGCGAAAGGGAUUAGAUACCCCUGUAGUC